This 3207-nucleotide long non-coding RNA is filed under the name Mus musculus (house mouse). Its description in RNAcentral is "long non-coding RNA chr12:19308563-19311770". The record is from RNAcentral. Lineage: Eukaryota; Metazoa; Chordata; Mammalia; Rodentia; Muridae.
UUUCGCUUGAUGUAGCCUUGUCUAAAAGGACUUUUAUGUUCUAGGUUUCAGACGUUCAUCCUGAGAGGAAACAGUACAAGUAACAUUUGAUCUAAUACCAGAUCCUCGACUCUGGACCCAUAUUUUACGAUAAUUUUGGGGAUUAUGAUUACGUCAUUCCUACCUCCUGUGAUCAAUCAGUAAACACAUCUAAUGCCUGCAGCUGGCAAAAGAAAGGUUGAUGGCAUUUCAGUUCCCGGCCUUGGUGUCUUUGGAAGAGACCAUGAAGGAGAGGGAAGAAGAAGCAGGAAAAAGGUCCCAUGGAUGGAUGGAUUGGGGAGCAUGGCCAGGAGGGCAAGCCUGAGAGUAUGAGCAGCCUGGGCAGAAUAUGGCAAGUGAGCCGGGAGUGGUGGCACUCACCUUUAAUCCGAACACUUGAGAAGUAGAGGCAGGCGGAUUUCUGAGUUCUUGACCAGCUUUGUCUACAAUGUGAGUUCCAGGACAGCCAGGGCUAUACAGAGAAACCCUGUCUCAAAAAAAAAAAAAAAAAGAAAAAAGAAAAGAAUAUGGUGAGUGAUAUCUCACAGUUCUUAGUAAAGAAGUAGAGAAAUUAGCAUAGAGGAAAGGUAUGUGCCCCAUGAUGGUGCAUUACUGCUUAUAAUCAUUAUUAUUAUUAAUCAUAAUUAUCAUUUCUUAUUAUUUGAUAUUAUUUCACAUUAUUGUUUAAUAUAUUAUUACAUCAUAUUAAUAUUAUUUCUUAUUUUAUUAUUUCAUAUUAUUUCUUAUUAUUUCAUAUUAUUUAUUAUUACUGUUUUAUUAUUAGUUUAUUCUCUUUUAUUAUUAUUAUUAUUAUUUAAUACCUCUAUAAUUUAUGUGUUGGUAAGAAAUCCACAAGUAAUAUUUACCACAACAACUUGGCUGUAAAAACAGCUUGUGCCCAAUGACUGAAAUGCAAUUGAAAGGAAGAUGUGGUUUUGUACACUUGUAACCUCAGAACCCAACAGACAAAACAGAAACAUGGCCAACACUUAUUUUCUUGCGAUAAGAAACAUUUAUUUUCUUCAGAGGAAGAAAGUUCUCUGGGAUCUCUGCUAAUAAGGUCACACAAACACACACACACACACACACACACACACACACCUCCACACAAACAUGCACACAUACUACAUACAUACAUUCACACAUAUACACACACACACACCACAGAUAAACAUACAUGCACCACACAUACACCAAACACACACAUAAAUAUGCCCCCACAAAAACACCCACACACAAAUAUGCCACUUACAUACAUUCACACAUACACAUGCACACACACAACGUACAGCCACACAUACACACACCACACAUACCCCCACACAAACAGUCACAUACAUACCACAUACAUUCAUUCACAUAUAUACACAUACACCAUACAUACUUACAUUCACACACAUGCACACACACAUACAACCACAGCACAUGCACACACAUAACAUAUACAUACAUUCAUACGCAUACAUACAAACACACCACACACACCUCCCUUUUUGAUUCUGGUUCAUUUUGCUUAACAAUGAUUUCUAGUUCCUUCUGUUUCUGUGCAAGUAUCAUGAUUUCACUUUUCUUCCUGACUGCAUGAAAUCAUGUCAUUUGUACUCUGUGAUCAAUUUGGUUAACAAGGGUUAAUGCAUAAGUAGGGCCUGGGCUGAGGAAUUUGCAUUGUGGGUGUUCCACAUAGCCAAGAGUGACAAGGCAUGUCCCAGAGUCUCUUCUCCCUCAGUGAGCCCCUUGGAGCAUGGCUCUUGGCCAAGGUUGUGGGGAAGGCAGGAUGAGGAAAUCAGUAGCUGACAUUGUUUGUGUACCUACUUGCCUGGUGAUUUCUGCUGCAACCACCAGGUUGUGUGUCUGAUGACCUUCCAGAGGUUCCACCAUCUGCCUGCACUUUGACCCCAUGAGUGUGAAAACAGAACUCCUGGAAGCUAUUGAAUCUGGGGGCUUUGAAACACUUUGAGAAAAUAUGGACAAGGUGGAGCACGGGGUAUCCGAGGUCAGUGAAGCUGGUCUGUAUACAUUGUAGAGGACAUGGAUCUGUGAACCCACAACAUGCAGCUCAAAGCAUGAAUGCUGUGUAGGCUGUAGACUGAGUGAGGGCAAUGAUUGUCCAUGCUACAGAUGCCCCAUUCUGGUGGAGGGUGUUGACCAGAUGAGCCCAGGGAAUGUCUCUAUGCCUGUCUCUCAAUGUUUCUAUGAAUCUAAAACUGCCCUAAAAUAAAGUCAGUUAAAAAUACAUAUGGGACCCAAGGAGCUAAAGGGGUUUGCAGCCCAAUAGGAGAAACAAUAUGAACCAACCAGUACCCCCAGAGCUCCCUGAGACUAAACCACCAACAAAAAAGAAUCCCAUGGCUCCAGCUGCAUAUGUAGCAGAGGAUGGCCUAGUCAGUCAUCAAUGGGAAGAGAGGCCCUUGGUCCUGUGAUGGUGCUAUGCCCAAGUAUAGGGGAAUACCUGGGCCAGGAAGCAAGAGUAUGUGGGUUGGGGAGCAUAGGAAGGGGGGCAAGUUAUAGGUGAUUUUCAAAGGGGAAACAGGAAAGGGGAUAUUUGAAAUGUAAAAUAAUAAAAAUAUCUAAUAAAAAUAUACAUAUGUGGACUGGUGGGGUGGCUCCAUGCUUAAGAGUUCUUACUGUUCUUUGAGCAGAAUCUAGUUCAUUUCCUCCCGUGUUGAGAGGCUCACAAUCACUGGUAACUCCAGCUCUUGGUGAUCGGGUGCCCUCGUCUGGCCUCCAUGGGCACCUGCACUAACAUGCAUAUUCCCACCCUAAUGUGCACAUAUCUGUUAGGGAAGUGCAUGGCUUUUCUAGUCCAGAUCUUGGAUUUUUGGUCUGAGUCUAAAUUCAGGGGUAGUCCUUUGCAAAGCACUGAGUAUUGAGUGCCUGCUUUGUUUAUAGCUCCUGGUUAGGCACUAAUGCAAGGUAAUGAAUGAAGUGAUGCCCUCUUGACUUCAUGGUGUCCAGUCAACCUGGCUGGGUGGGAGAAGGGCAGACACACAGUCCUCACCCCUACCCCCAGUCUGCAGAGCAAGGGAAGUCCUAGGUCCUCCUGCUCUUUAGAACACACUCUGGGACAAACCAGUGCUUGGUUCAGGAAGAACAUUGCAAGUAUGAUCAUUGCUGUGAAUGGAGAGACUGCACCAUAAGGGGAAACAGAGACAGUGCUGUAGCCUAGGAAGAGAAGUUGUGCUCGGGUGA